UACGUAGGGUGCAAGCGUUGUCCGGAAUUAUUGGGCGUAAAGAGCUCGUAGGCGGUCUGUCGCGUCGGCUGUGAAAUCCCGGAGCUCAACUCCGGGUCUGCAGUCGAUACGGGCAAACUGGAGUACUGCAGGGGAGACUGGAAUUCCUGGUGUAGCGGUGAAAUGCGCAGAUAUCAGGAGGAACACCGGUGGCGAAGGCGGGUCUCUGGGCCGAUACUGACGCUGAGGAAGCGAAAGCGUGGGGAGCGAACAGG
RNAcentral lists this ribosomal RNA (254 nucleotides) under uncultured bacterium. Its description in RNAcentral is "partial 16S ribosomal RNA". It matches the Rfam family "Bacterial small subunit ribosomal RNA", at positions 524 to 776 of the family's 1533-position model. The record is from RNAcentral.